CAAUAGCUACAAAUUCAACAUCUUAAACAUCAUGAAAUUAUACUAAUGUAUCAGCUCCUUCAUAUGAGAUAGUUCCUAUGACACAGUAGACCUUCAUAUGAGAGUUUCUAUGAUAUAUUAGAGUUCAACAAGUUUGUUGAGGGGACCAGUGAGGAGAGACUUGUCCAUAUCAAAUAUAUGUUCUAACAUCUUUACUAUGAUAUUAACUUCUUUCUUAAAUAUAAAUGAUUCUGAGAAUGAAUCUGGGUACGUAUACUUUGUAAAUUAUUUAUCAUGUCCAUCUUCUUACCUAUUUUGGUAACAGUUUGCAUGGGAUGAAGUUCAACGAAUCCGAAGAUGAAGACUCAUCAAUCUCAUCCAACUAGAUAAAUUUAGCUUUCCCUCCCUCGCGAGAGUUCAGGUGAGAUAUUGGAGCUUACCAAAUACGAAAAGAUAGAAUAAUAAUCCGUGGUAAUGUCUAUU
Molecule: long non-coding RNA, 462 nt
Filed under: Oryza brachyantha (malo sina)
Lineage: Eukaryota; Viridiplantae; Streptophyta; Magnoliopsida; Poales; Poaceae
Description: long non-coding RNA (OBRA_LNC001293)
Source: RNAcentral